RNAcentral lists this ribosomal RNA (1407 nucleotides) under uncultured bacterium. RNAcentral describes it as "bacterial SSU rRNA". It matches the Rfam family "Bacterial small subunit ribosomal RNA". The record is from RNAcentral.
GAGUUUGAUUCAUGGCUCAGGACGAACGCUGGCGGCGUGCCUAAUACAUGCAAGUAGAACGCUGAAGAGAGGAGCUUGCUCUUCUUGGAUGAGUUUGCGAACGGGUGAGUAACGCGUAGGUAACCUGCCUUGUAGCGGGGGAUAACUAUUGGAAACGAUAGCUAAUACCGCAUAACAAUAGGUGACACAUGUCAUUUAUUUGAAAGGGGCAAUUGCUCCACUACAAGAUGGACCUGCGUUGUAUUAGCUAGUAGGUGAGGUAACGGCUCACCUAGGCGACGAUACAUAGCCGACCUGAGAGGGUGAUCGGCCAUACUGGGACUGAGACACGGCCCAGACUCCUACGGGAGGCAGCAGUAGGGAAUCUUCGGCAAUGGGGGCAACCCUGACCGAGCAACGCCGCGUGAGUGAAGAAGGUUUUCGGAUCGUAAAGCUCUGUUGUAAGUCAAGAACGAGUGUGAGAGUGGAAAGUUCACACUGUGACGGUAGCUUACCAGAAAGGGACGGCUAACUACGUGCCAGCAGCCGCGGUAAUACGUAGGUCCCGAGCGUUGUCCGGAUUUAUUGGGCGUAAAGCGAGCGCAGGCGGUUUGAUAAGUCUGAAGUUAAAGGCUGUGGCUCAACCAUAGUUCGCUUUGGAAACUGUCAAACUUGAGUGCAGAAGGGGAGAGUGGAAUUCCAUGUGUAGCGGUGAAAUGCGUAGAUAUAUGGAGGAACACCGGUGGCGAAAGCGGCUCUCUGGUCUGUAACUGACGCUGAGGCUCGAAAGCGUGGGGAGCGAACAGGAUUAGAUACCCUGGUAGUCCACGCCGUAAACGAUGAGUGCUAGGUGUUGGAUCCUUUCCGGGAUUCAGUGCCGCAGCUAACGCAUUAAGCACUCCGCCUGGGGAGUACGACCGCAAGGUUGAAACUCAAAGGAAUUGACGGGGGCCCGCACAAGCGGUGGAGCAUGUGGUUUAAUUCGAAGCAACGCGAAGAACCUUACCAGGUCUUGACAUCCCGAUGCUAUUUCUAGAGAUAGAAAGUUACUUCGGUACAUCGGUGACAGGUGGUGCAUGGUUGUCGUCAGCUCGUGUCGUGAGAUGUUGGGUUAAGUCCCGCAACGAGCGCAACCCCUAUUGUUAGUUGCCAUCAUUCAGUUGGGCACUCUAGCGAGACUGCCGGUAAUAAACCGGAGGAAGGUGGGGAUGACGUCAAAUCAUCAUGCCCCUUAUGACCUGGGCUACACACGUGCUACAAUGGUUGGUACAACGAGUUGCGAGUCGGUGACGGCAAGCUAAUCUCUUAAAGCCAAUCUCAGUUCGGAUUGUAGGCUGCAACUCGCCUACAUGAAGUCGGAAUCGCUAGUAAUCGCGGAUCAGCACGCCGCGGUGAAUACGUUCCCGGGCCUUGCACACACCGCCCGUC